RNAcentral lists this long non-coding RNA (900 nucleotides) under Lupinus angustifolius (narrow-leaved blue lupine). RNAcentral describes it as "long non-coding RNA (LANG_LNC000583)". Lineage: Eukaryota; Viridiplantae; Streptophyta; Magnoliopsida; Fabales; Fabaceae. The record is from RNAcentral.
CACUUACUAUUCCGUUACAUGUCUCUUCAUUUCUCUAAUUUAUUUUCACACUCAUUGUUUGCUUCGUUUCUCCAACAAAAUGAUGAACUUUUCUUGAUUGUCGUGAUGUGAUGUGUAUAACACAUACCUAUAACAUAUCAUUUUUCCUUUCUUCAUUUCUUUCAUUUUGUUUUUCUUCAUUUUCUCUUUAUGCGUUGGGAAUGUCAUUUACCCCCUCUCAUUUCAUUUUUUUCUUUAUUAUAUGCGUUGUGUUCUUCUUCAUGUUUGUCUUUUUAAUUUUGCAUUAUAUUUGGUGAGGCUCUUUGAUUUUAAAAGAAAGUAUUGUGUUUAAUUUUACCAAGGAUUAUAGGGUGAUCUUCUUCCAAUUUUGUUUGCCCUUUGUCUUCUUCUUAUUUUUUAUAUAUUUACUUAGGUUCUUUUUUUUUAAUCUUAACUUUGGUCAUAUCCUUCAUAAAGUGUUAUUGUUAUGCUGUAAUUAUUUUUUUUUUACUUUUUUUGGUUCAUGAUAUUCUUCUUCGUUUCUGUUUAUUGUUUAAUGCUUUCACUGUUUUUUUAUAUAUCUUACCUUUGGUAAUAACCUUCAUUGAAGUUGACCUAUUAUAAGUUGAUAUUGUUUUCCUAUUUUUUGUCUUAUGUCACUAACUAUUUUCAUUCAUUGAACUGUCAUUCUUAUGCUGUAAUUUUAUUUUUACUUUUCUUGGUUCAUAAUAUUCAUGUUCAUUUGUAUAAGUGUGAGUAGACCCUUAGAAACGACGAGGAACUCUAUAUCCAAGAAUGAAUCUAGCAUUUGUUUAGUGUAAACGUUAGUUUCAUUUUGAACUCCAUUCAACAAUUAUGAAAUAUAUUAAUUUCAAAUAUCAUCAAGGAAGCAUGAUCAUAUUCGCAUUAAUACAAUUGAUC